GGUUGAAUGAGUUUAAAAUAGAAAUGUAUGCCUGGCAAGCAUAGGGUCCUGAGUUCGAUUCCCGGUAACCA
Molecule: transfer RNA, 71 nt
Filed under: Cavia porcellus (domestic guinea pig)
Lineage: Eukaryota; Metazoa; Chordata; Mammalia; Rodentia; Caviidae
Rfam family: tRNA
About the family: Transfer RNA (tRNA) molecules are approximately 80 nucleotides in length. Their secondary structure includes four short double-helical elements and three loops (D, anti-codon, and T loops).
Source: Rfam by way of RNAcentral